UGGGGAAUAUUGGACAAUGGGCGCAAGCCUGAUCCAGCCAUACCGCGUGAGUGAAGAAGGCCCUCGGGUUGUAAAGCUCUUUUGUUGGGAAAGAAAUCCUGUUGGUUAAUACCUGGCAGGGAUGACGGUACCCAAAGAAUAAGCACCGGCUAACUUCGUGCCAGCAGCCGCGGUAAUACGAAGGGUGCAAGCGUUACUCGGAAUUACUGGGCGUAAAGCGUGCGUAGGUGGUUGUUUAAGUCUGUCGUGAAAGCCCUGGGCUCAACCUGGGAAUUGCGAUGGAUACUGGGCGACUAGAAUGUGGUAGAGGGUGGCGGAAUUCCCGGUGUAGCAGUGAAAUGCGUAGAGAUCGGGAGGAACAUCCGUGGCGAAGGCGGCCACCUGGACCAACAUUGACACU
This 400-nucleotide ribosomal RNA is filed under the name uncultured bacterium. Its description in RNAcentral is "bacterial SSU rRNA". It matches the Rfam family "Bacterial small subunit ribosomal RNA", at positions 355 to 747 of the family's 1533-position model. The record is from RNAcentral.